This 22-nucleotide small nuclear RNA is filed under the name Arabidopsis thaliana (thale cress). RNAcentral describes it as "snRNA_04601". The record is from RNAcentral. Lineage: Eukaryota; Viridiplantae; Streptophyta; Magnoliopsida; Brassicales; Brassicaceae.
AUACUAUCUAUAAAGUAACGUA